Molecule: non-coding RNA, 61 nt
Filed under: Rhodococcus sp. (in: high G+C Gram-positive bacteria)
Lineage: Bacteria; Bacillati; Actinomycetota; Actinomycetes; Mycobacteriales; Nocardiaceae
Source: RNAcentral
UACUGGUCUCGAUGACAUCCGGACGAGCGCACCGUACCCGCCAGCGACAAGACGGUGCAGG